GACAGAGGUGCCAAGCGUUAGGCGGAAUCACUGGGCUUAAAGCGUGUGUAGGCGGAUUGGUAAGUACCUUGUGAAAUCCCCAACAGCUCAACUGUGGAACUGCUGGGUAUACUGCUUAUCUUGAGCCACUUAGGGGCUGUCGGAACAAAUGGUGGAGCGGUGAAAUGCGUAGAUAUCGGAAGGAACACCGGUGGCGAAAGCGGCGCGCUGGGACCCCUUCUGACGCUGAGGCGCGAAAGCCAGGGGGAGCAAACGGG
Molecule: ribosomal RNA, 257 nt
Filed under: uncultured bacterium
Lineage: Bacteria
Description: partial 16S ribosomal RNA
Rfam family: Bacterial small subunit ribosomal RNA
Source: RNAcentral